This 443-nucleotide long non-coding RNA is filed under the name Pan troglodytes (chimpanzee). Its description in RNAcentral is "long non-coding RNA NONPTRT008879". The record is from RNAcentral. Lineage: Eukaryota; Metazoa; Chordata; Mammalia; Primates; Hominidae.
CUUCUUCUCUCCUCUGGAAGAGAGAUGGGAGAGGGAUGGGAUAUGUCUUGAGAAAGAGCAACACUUUGGGAGGCCAAGAUGGGCCAAUCACUUGAGGUCAGGAGUUCAAGACCAGCCUGGCCAACAUGGUGAAACCCCGUCUCUACUAAAAAUAUAAAAAUUAGCUGGGUGUGGUGGCGGGUGCCUGUAAUCCCAGCUACUUGGGAGGCUGAGCCAGGAGAAUUGCUUGAACCUGGGAAGUGGAGGUUGCAGUGAGCCGAGAUUGUGCCACUGGACUCCAGCCUGGGCAACAGAGGGAGAUGCCGUCUCAAAAAAAAAAAAAAAAAGAAAGAAAAACUAGCUGGAUUCUUUAUGGAUUGGGUGUGGGUUAUAAGAGAAAGGGAGUAGAAGGAUGACUCAAGGGUUUGGGGACAGAGUGAGUUAUUUAUUGAGAUAAGGAACAU